Lactuca sativa (garden lettuce) is the source of this 1403-nucleotide long non-coding RNA. RefSeq lists it as uncharacterized. Lineage: Eukaryota; Viridiplantae; Streptophyta; Magnoliopsida; Asterales; Asteraceae. The record is from RefSeq and is a predicted model, not a curated record.
CGCUUCAAAUUUCCCAAAAGAAAAAGGUUUCCGCCACCCCCGCAUUCAUUUUCAUUUUCACUCUUGAUCUCUAAAUUUUUUGACCUAGUUCUGUCUCUCCCAAAAUAGCCACCAUCGUCCGCCACCCUAAAACCAAAAUCGACCUAAGUUGCAGCUCAUCUUUUACGAUGCUCUUUCUAUGUGCAUAAACUCUUCUCAAUCCUCUCUCACACACACCUUACCUUAUCAAUUACUAUCUUUACGUCUCUUCCUGCUAUGCUCUCCACUGUAAGCAAAUUUUCAAACUAGGGUUUGCAAAUUAUCGUGUUUAGGCUUUGGAUUGGAUUUCAAAGAUUGUUGUAAGGUCAACUUCUUUUCUCUUCUUUCUUGUCAUCGGUUUUCUGAUGAACGUUCAUUCUAUUUUUCUCUUCGGCAUGUCCAAAUUCUGUCUUUGGCUUCUCAGUUUUGAAGAUUAAUCAUUAGUGGAAUUCAGUUUCAGAUUCAGUGAAAAGUUCUCUUUCGCUCUCUGUUCUCUUUCACUCUCUCUUCUCCGAUGAACAUUAUUUGCUCUAUUUCUUAUUCGUUUUUAAAUAUUAUCCGAUUAUCACUUUUUUAACUGCCUUUUGAAGAUUCAGAACUAUAGGAAUGGGUUCAGGAUAUAAGUUCUAAUGAGUCUUCAUGUUAAUAGACUUCCAUUUGUAGGUUUUUGCAGCUCUGUUAGUUUAUCCACAACAUAUAUUGAUGGCCACAACCGUAGUUGUUGCUACUUUGAGGUAGAUCGACUAUUUGGAAUUGAGCUAUGUGGGUAACAUUCACACAUAAGUGACUGAACCACUUCUUAAAGAGGUUAUUCCAAAGCACUAGUGCAUUAGUGGUGCAAUAGUAAGAAAAUAAUCGAAGAUUACAAAUAUGAAAGUCAAGGAAGAUGGGAGGAGGAAAUAAAUGAGGAUGUGUUAAAUGAGAAGGAAAACAAGCCAAAUAGACUUAACGUUCCAAUAAGAACCUAAAAGUCAAAACCUCUAGCAAAAUUGGAUUCUGUCCAUCCUCGCAGCCAAACAAAACACACAAUGAUGGUUUAGAAAUUGAGUCAUCAAGUCAACUUCCCUAGCAUCCAUUGACAAUUACGACUUCCCUUCUUUGAGCAUCGUGAUUUUCCUUGACGGCUGGACCUGGUAACUAGUAACCAAUAAGAGGUUUAACCAACGAUGAGACUAGAGAUGUGGUAGAAGAUCUUGAUAAAGAAGUGAAUGUCUUGGAUGACGAUUUUAUGAUAGUAUUAUGUUAUUAGUACUAGCAUAACAUUUAGAUUUAUUAUAAUUUUUAAGAUAUUUGUGUUUUAAAUAUUAAGAUUUUAUUUUUAGACAAGUUUGAUUUGAUGUAAUGAUACUGUGUUUCAAUUUAUUAUCUUCAUUAUCUUAUUAUUA